RNAcentral lists this ribosomal RNA (274 nucleotides) under uncultured bacterium. RNAcentral's name for it is "partial 16S ribosomal RNA". It matches the Rfam family "Bacterial small subunit ribosomal RNA", at positions 523 to 796 of the family's 1533-position model. The record is from RNAcentral.
AUACGUAGGAUCCAAGCGUUGUCCGGAUUUACUGGGCGUAAAGGGUGUGUAGGCGGCAUGGUAAGUCUCAUGUGAAAUCUCCCGGCUUAACUGGGAGGGGUCAUGGGAAACUACCACGCUGGAGGGCAGCAGAGGAGAGCGGAAUUCCGGGAGUAGUGGUGAAAUGCGUAGAUACCCGGAGGAACACCCGUGGCGAAAGCGGCUCUCUGGGCUGUAUCUGACGCUGAGACACGAAAGCGUGGGGAGCAAACCGGAUUAGAAACCCCAGUAGUCC